UAGACAUGCGUAUACUCACAUACACUGACAUACAUACAGGGUGUCCGCGGGUCCUUAAAAAGUCUUAAAAAGUCUUAAAUUGCUUUUCCUAAAAAUAAGGCCUUAAAAAGUCUUAAAUUGUCUUAAAUUCAGAUUGGAUUGGUCUUAAAUUUUUUGCGUGUCAUGUCCAGGGGUUUUCCUGGGUCAAAAUGGGUCUUCGGUGCUCCCAAAGAAUAUGUUGGCGCGCUGCGCGCGCGCACCGUCUAUCUGUGCAGGUCGGGCUGUUGAGUGAUCAGCAGCUGUCCGCUCGGUCCAUUUGCGCACCUCACAGUUGCGUAUUGAUCAGACAAGAAGACACGCUUAUCAACUCCAGUGUUUCCCCUAUAACAGGGUGAAAUCCCCCCCCCCCCCCCGCAAACAAUUCUCGGCUCGCGCGACAGAGCGAUGCGCGCGCCGGCAUCGAAUCUGACGUGAUGCGCGCACACGGGUGAGCACCGCGUAUUCGGUCCUAUCAAUCCCCUACAACGUGAAGCAUCGGCUACUUUAGAAAACAUGGCAGGAUGCAAGUUCAACAACGGCUUGAAAAGAACGAGUGUUUCUGGUCACGGUCGGUGAAAUGCUUCUGAAGCUGCGUUAUGUGUCGCGAGACUUUCCAGCGGUGGAAUCUCACGAGCAGAGCAAGAAGCACAGAGACUAGCGAAGGCUGCCAGCAGCCCGCGGGGCUAGCUGCUGCUCCGCCGCCCGCAACGACGUCAACUACAACGCUGGAGGUCACCGGAGGAAAUCCAGCGCCUUGCAACAAAGAGCUCAUCACCGAAGUCCAACGCUGCAGUGCGUUCUUCAUUCUGUUCCACGAGACUCUGGACCAGACCACCGCGAGACUCUGGACCAGACCACCACGAGACUCUGGACCAGACCACCACGAGACUCUGGACCAGACCACCGCGAGCAGACAGCUGGACUUCAUGUGCUAUUGGUGAAAUGACCACGUCCCGUCAGGAUCCUGUGGAGCUCAUGGGCCAUGACACCAGGACCUACUUCAGCAUCUCACAGAGAAUGGACCAAAUGUCAACUGGAAGUUUUUAUAUUAAUACAGUUUGAAAAGGAUUGUUUUCCUAGUAUAUUCACAAAAGCUCAGGAGGAGACGUAUGAACCUGUGACACACACAUCCAUCACAUGGAGACAUGAGAACACACACACACACACAUACAUUCUAUUAUGUAAAUGAAUUUGCAUUUUAAAAGCAGCUGGAAAUGUUAUUUGUUAUUUUAUGGAUUUUUUUUGUUCAAAAGGAACUAUGUUGCAUGUAUUUUUUAAAUAUAUUUACUUAAUUUUAGAGACAUUUGUUCAUGGGACUUAAAUGUUCUGAAAAUGUAUUAAUAAAUAUAAUUUACAACAGCAA
Long non-coding RNA from Pseudoliparis swirei, 1381 nucleotides. RefSeq lists it as uncharacterized. Lineage: Eukaryota; Metazoa; Chordata; Actinopteri; Perciformes; Liparidae. The record is from RefSeq and is a predicted model, not a curated record. The transcript has 2 exons.